This 387-nucleotide ribosomal RNA is filed under the name uncultured bacterium. RNAcentral's name for it is "bacterial SSU rRNA". It matches the Rfam family "Bacterial small subunit ribosomal RNA", at positions 28 to 416 of the family's 1533-position model. The record is from RNAcentral.
GACGAACGCUGGCGGCGUGCUUAACACAUGCAAGUCGAGCGGUAAGGCCCUUUCGGGGGUACACGAGCGGCGAACGGGUGAGUAACACGUGGGUGACCUGCCCUUAGCUCUGGGAUAAGCCUGGGAAACUGGGUCUAAUACCGGAUAUGACUCCAUGACGCAUGUUGUGGGGUGGAAAGCCUUGUGCGGCUAGGGAUGGGCCCGCGGCCUAUCAGCUUGUUGGUGGGGUGAUGGCCUACCAAGGCGACGACGCGUAGCCGGACUGAGAGGUUGGCCGGCCUCAUUGGGACUGAGACACUGCCCAGACUCCUACGGGGGGCUGCAGUAACGAAUCUUCCGCAAUGCACGAAAGUGUGACGGAGCGACGCCGCGUGUAGGACGAAGCCC